Drosophila albomicans is the source of this 775-nucleotide long non-coding RNA. RefSeq lists it as uncharacterized. Lineage: Eukaryota; Metazoa; Arthropoda; Insecta; Diptera; Drosophilidae. The record is from RefSeq and is a predicted model, not a curated record. The transcript is spliced from 3 exons.
ACAGUUCGAAAAUCAGCAUUCAUUGAGUUGAGUUUCCUCCAUUCACACGUAAUCAUUUGUCGAUGCCCAAACCUCAUCCAAAGUCAGUUCCUCCAUUUCUACCGUUCUGAUCAGAUCACCCAGCUGCUCUCCUUCUUCAGUUUUUUAUUUUCCAAUAAUAUUCUCUGAGUUAGCUUUCUUCUUAUCUACUUCAAUAUUAUCGGUCACGUUAAUGUCUACUCGAAAUUGCUCAAAACAUCUGUGGUUGCUAAGUCGUUAAAUUGAAAAUGUAUGUUUUGAAUUGCUUUUUUUAUUUUUGGUUUUUCCGUAACUGCUUUGGAAUUAUUUGAGCUUGCUUUAACCGCAUUUGUGUAUUGAAAAACGAAAAAAGAAUCUCGACUCCCAACGCUAAUAAAGCUAGUAAAAUGCCACCUUAAAAUAAAAAGAUUUUGAAAAAAGUAACUACGAUUACAAUCUCGUAUUUUAACUUAGCAGUGUGAAAAAUGCCGAGGUAACUCCCGAUAUAGAUACUGGGUAGACGGUAUAGAGAGACUGACAGGUUGGCUUCUUCAUUUGACGUUGUCGAAGGAUCCUCUCAAUUAAUCCAGCUUCCCGAGCAUUGCACAUACUUAAUAGCAAAUCAAAUAUUUAUCGAUUCGUGGUGAUCUUUCGACGACUUACGCUGUUCUAAACAAUUCGGCCUGAUACUUCACGCAGGUCGCAAAUUUCAUUGGCAUCAAAUAAUUCGGCGAUAAUCGGAUAAGCAUCAACAACUUCGCAGUGAAAUGCGAAUCCA